UAAGCUUUGUUGCUCUCUCUGAUUAUAGGGCAUUGGCAUUUGUGCUUGUGCUGCAUCAACUGGUUUUCCAGUUGGUUAAAAACUUUGAUUAGAAUCAUUAGAUUUUUGACAUAACCCACUGCUGGGACAUAAGUUCAAUGAUGUUAUUUUCUAUAACCAGGUCAAAUAGAACAGGUCCUCUGUUAUCCUUGAUUGAAAACAUGAACUUUUUCCAAAAGGUUUUGCUUUUGAUAUAUGUUUGUCUUUGGUUUUGAAAAAAAGGUUCUGUUCAUGGGAAUAAUUUGUUAACAGUUUCCAAUAUGCUAAUUGUGAGAUUUUUCUUAUGUCUUUUUUUAUUUUUUUGAGAAUGCAGGUUCAAAUGCGGCAUACAAUGCAGGUUCACUUUAUUUUUCAGAGUUUUGGCCUUGGAUGGAUUGUUGGGUCAUGGCCAUUAUUUUGGGCCCUAUUCAUCAGUUUUGCAUUGGGAACUGCUUAUUCAAUCAAUGUGCCCCUUUUGAGAUGGAAGAGAUUUGAUUUAGUUGCAGCAAUGUGCAUUCUCGCAGUUCGAGCAGUGAUUGUUCAACUAGCUUUUUUUCUUCACAUGCAGACCCAUGUCUUUAAAAGGCCAGCUGCCUUCUCAAGGCCUCUCAUAUUUGCAACUGCAUUUAUGAGCUUCUUCUCAGUUGUUAU
Molecule: long non-coding RNA, 669 nt
Organism: Humulus lupulus (European hop)
Lineage: Eukaryota; Viridiplantae; Streptophyta; Magnoliopsida; Rosales; Cannabaceae
Exons: 3
Source: RefSeq, a predicted model, not a curated record